UGUAAUCAGCUCCCGUUUGGUUGCAUGCUGUCUGAUCACCAAUACAGCAGAUAAAUUUGCAGCAUCUGAAGGCUUGUGAAACUCCUCUGCAAAGAACUUCUGAUGGACCCUGAAGGAGUGGGAGAUUUCACCCAACACUGAUGACACUGAAAUCACCAACUCCCAGCCCAUACUAUAGCCUAUAACAACCUCCCCUCCUUGGACAAACUUGAGCACUAUUACUGCAAGUGGUAUUAGUGGCUCUAAAUUGACUUUGGCAAACCGCUUGUGCUGGUUAUUCUUCCACAGACAGUUUGCCAAGCUGGAGUUACUGGCAGUUUUAGAUAAUCCUUGGGCCUUUUGCUUGGGAGUACAUCAAUCAUACAAUACCAGGCUUGGAUUGAAGAAAACACCAGGAUCAUUUUUACCCCAUUGUCUCACAAUCAUGCUGCAAUGAACAUAUCUUUAAAAGUGAGAGCUCUCCAAAUUAUGCACUAUCCUCGCCGAAAAGGAAAUGGACAAUAAGCCUGUCAGCUUUCCAAACUGAAGUAGGAAGUCAUUGCUGAAAUAUUCUUUCCCUGCCUUUUACUGGU
This is a non-coding RNA of Chiloscyllium plagiosum (whitespotted bambooshark), 572 nucleotides long. The record is from RefSeq and is a predicted model, not a curated record. NCBI's taxonomy places the organism in Eukaryota, Metazoa, Chordata, Chondrichthyes, Orectolobiformes, Hemiscylliidae.